UACGUAGGGGGCGAGCGUUGUCCGGAAUUACUGGGCGUAAAGCGUGCGUAGGUGGUUCGUUAAGUCUGAUGUGAAAGCCCUGGGCUCAACCUGGGAAUGGCAUUGGAUACUGGCGACCUAGAGUGCGGUAGAGGGGUGUGGAAUUCCCGGUGUAGCAGUGAAAUGCGUAGAUAUCGGGAGGAACAUCUGUGGCGAAGGCGACACCCUGGACCAGCACUGACACUGAGGCACGAAAGCGUGGGGAGCAAACAGG
This 253-nucleotide ribosomal RNA is filed under the name uncultured bacterium. Its description in RNAcentral is "partial 16S ribosomal RNA". It matches the Rfam family "Bacterial small subunit ribosomal RNA", at positions 524 to 776 of the family's 1533-position model. The record is from RNAcentral.